GUGGGGAAUAUUGGGCAAUGGGCGAAAGCCUGACCCAGCAACGCCGCGUGAGGGAAGAAGGUUUUCGGAUUGUAAACCUCUGUCCUUGGUGACGAAGGAAGUGACGGUAGCCAAGGAGGAAGCCCCGGCUAACUACGUGCCAGCAGCCGCGGUAAUACGUAGGGGGCGAGCGUUGUCCGGAAUGACUGGGCGUAAAGGGCGUGUAGGCGGCCGAUUAAGUCUGGAGUGAAAGUCCUGCUUUCAAGGUGGGAAUUGCUCUGGAGACUGGUUGGCUUGAGUGCGGAAGAGGUAAGUGGAAUUCCCAGUGUAGCGGUGAAAUGCGUAGAGAUUGGGAGGAACACCAGUGGCGAAGGCGACUUACUGGGCCGUAACUGACGCUGAGGCGCGAAAGCGUGGGGAGCGAACAGGAUUAGAUACCCGUGUAGUCC
This 428-nucleotide ribosomal RNA is filed under the name uncultured bacterium. RNAcentral's name for it is "partial 16S ribosomal RNA". It matches the Rfam family "Bacterial small subunit ribosomal RNA", at positions 354 to 796 of the family's 1533-position model. The record is from RNAcentral.